This 424-nucleotide ribosomal RNA is filed under the name uncultured bacterium. RNAcentral's name for it is "bacterial SSU rRNA". It matches the Rfam family "Bacterial small subunit ribosomal RNA", at positions 355 to 796 of the family's 1533-position model. The record is from RNAcentral.
UAGGGAAUCUUGCGCAAUGGGCGAAAGCCUGACGCAGCCAUGCCGCGUGGAUGAUGAAGGUCUUAGGAUUGUAAAAUCCUUUCAGCGGGGACGAUAAUGACGGUACCCGCAGAAGAAGCCCCGGCUAACUUCGUGCCAGCAGCCGCGGUAAUACGAAGGGGGCUAGCGUUGCUCGGAUUUACUGGGCGUAAAGGGCGCGUAGGCGGAUGUUUAAGUCGGGGGUGAAAGCCCGGGGCUCAACCUCGGAAUUGCCUUCGAUACUGGACAUCUUGAGUACGGGAGAGGUGAGUGGAACUCCGAGUGUAGAGGUGAAAUUCGUAGAUAUUCGGAAGAACACCAGUGGCGAAGGCGACUCACUGGCCCGUUACUGACGCUGAGGCGCGAAAGCGUGGGGAGCAAACAGGAUUAGAUACCCCCGUAGUCC